AACGAACGCUGGCGGCGUGCCUAACACAUGCAAGUCGAGCGCGAAUGGAGCAAUCCUAGUAGAGCGGCGCACGGGUGCGUAACACGUGGGUAAUCUGCCUCAAAGCCCGGGAUAACCUGCCGAAAGGCAAGCUAAUACCGGAUAAGCCUACGGACUCUUCGGGGUCUGAAGGAAAGGUGGCCUCUGUAUACAAGCUAUCACUUUGAGAUGAGCCCGCGGCCCAUCAGCUCGUUGGCGGGGUAACGGCCCACCAAGGCAACGGCGGGUAGCUGGUCUGAGAGGGCGACCGGCCACACUGGGACGUGAGAUACGGCCCACGACUCCUACCGGGAGGCAGCAGUGGGGAAGUCUUGCGCAAUGGGCGAAAGACCUGACGCAGCGACGCCG
RNAcentral lists this ribosomal RNA (387 nucleotides) under uncultured bacterium. RNAcentral's name for it is "bacterial SSU rRNA". It matches the Rfam family "Bacterial small subunit ribosomal RNA", at positions 29 to 399 of the family's 1533-position model. The record is from RNAcentral.